Malus domestica (apple) is the source of this 1899-nucleotide non-coding RNA. NCBI's taxonomy places the organism in Eukaryota, Viridiplantae, Streptophyta, Magnoliopsida, Rosales, Rosaceae. The record is from RefSeq and is a predicted model, not a curated record.
GUUAAUAUGGAAUAUGAAGGCAGUACAAAAAUCAACAACUUUCUAUGGAGAGCUAUUUCAAAUGCCAUUCAUACAAAACACAACCUCUUAUCUUGACACAUUGGCAUGGAUCCUAGAUGCUCAUUUUGUGGUACAGAGGAUGAAACCUUAGAAAAUAUUGUUCUCAAGUGCCCGUGGGUGCACUAUGUGUGGUAUGACUCUCGCUUAAGUUAUCACCCCAAUAAUCAAGGAAUUACCUCUCUUGAUCGCUGGCUUCUAUGCAUGGCUACGAUAGGAUCUUCAUCUUUAAGGGAUACUAUUUGGUUAUAUGUUGGGGUGAUAUGCUGGGAGAUUUGGAAAGAACGAUGUCAUGCAAUUUUCAUGAAGGUGGCUCCCAACCCCAUAUUUGUCUUAGCAAGAUGUAACAGUAUGUACAAUGACAUAACAAAUAUACACACCAGGCUCCCAUCAAUUGUUAGUCAAGAGGAUCAUUAUAUUCAUAGGUGGAUCCCUCUAGUGGACCGGAACGUAAAGGUUAACGUUGAUGGGGCUUGGAACUCUUCCAUGAUGGAAACUGGAGUGGGAGUUGUUAUUCGAAAUUCUAGUGGUGAACUUAUUUGCGGUGAGUCCAGUUUCUUGAAGAGAGCUUCAGUUGAAGAGGUUGAAGCUGAAGCAGUAUUAACAGGGAUGAAACUAGCUUCAACAAAAAACUUCCAGCAUGUUAUGAUUGAGAGUGAUUCUAUAGUGGUCAUAGAGGCCAUCAAUUGUCCUUCUCACAGCAAAAUAUGGAGAAUUUACCCCAUUAUCGUUGAGAUUCGACGAUUGGCAUCUCAUUUUUCAUCGGUAACUUUAACUCGGACAUCAAGGUCCUCCAAUCGAGCAGCUCAUUUGGUAGCUGCACUUGGCAACUCGAGGGUGAGACACUUCCAAUGGGCUUCAAUGCCUCCUCCCUCCUUGGUUCUGGUACUUUCACAUGAUGGACUCCUUUGUCCUCCGUCAUUGGUAGUCUGAUGAUGGCUACUCCAUUGCCAUCCUCUAUUUUUUUGUAUGCCUUGAUGGCUUUUUGUAGCUAGUGUUAUCUUCUCUUCCUGAGAUUUACUUUCUCUGUAUGGUUGGUAUCACUAUGUAUCCCCAUCGGGGAUCAGAGUUUCUGUGACUCCACUUGUACUUGUUCUCUUUUUCAAUAUAUUUCCUCAUUUUUCCAAAAAAAAAAAUAUUCCUCUAAUUUUCACUUAUAGUACACCAGCAUAACUAAGGGGCACCCACGUAAUUAUCCUUAAAACCAAAGGUCAAUGUCUUGAUUAAACUCUAUUUAAAGAAGGAAACUUAUCAAUCUAAUGCAACGAAGUCUCCACUCACCAAAACCCGCACAUACCAUGGAAAGAUUGCCAGGAGUAUUACUCUUCCUUCUUGCCAUAUUUUUCUCAACAACUCAAGCUUAUGAGCCACUUAUAAACCACCAUAUCCAUCUCCUCAGGCCGAAAUCCGGGGCGGGUGGCAGCAGCGUUCCCGGCGUGUCUUGCCUGAGUUGGCGUUUGGGGGUGGAAGUUAGGAACAUUAUCAACUGGAAGACUGUUCCGGCACAGUGUGAAAGCUACGUUGGGCACUACAUGCUUGGGCACCAGUACAGGAAGGACUCAAAAGCGGUCACUGAUGUGGCUUGGCUCUAUGCUAAGAGCCUCAAUCUUACAAAGGAUGGCAAGAACGUUUGGGUCUUUGAUAUCGAUGAAACUACACUCUCUAAUCUACCGUAUUAUGCUCGUCAUGGAUUCGGGACCGAGGUAUACAAUUCCACUUCAUUCAAUGAAUGGGUGUUGGAAGGCACAGCCCCAGCUUUGCCCGAGAGUCUUCAGCUGUACAAGAAAUUGUUGAAACUUGGAGUCAAGGUCGUGUUCAUAACAGGUAGAGGAGAAGAUCAGA